RNAcentral lists this ribosomal RNA (153 nucleotides) under uncultured bacterium. RNAcentral's name for it is "partial 16S ribosomal RNA". It matches the Rfam family "Bacterial small subunit ribosomal RNA", at positions 1348 to 1500 of the family's 1533-position model. The record is from RNAcentral.
AUCAGCAUGCCACGGUGAAUACGUUCCCGGGUCUUGUACACACCGCCCGUCACACCAUGGGAGCUGGUAACACCCGAAGUCAGUAGUCUAACCGCAAGGAGGACGCUGCCGAAGGUGGGAUUAGCGACUGGGGUGAAGUCGUAACAAGGUAGC